ACGCUCGACACCUACGGGGGCAGCAGUCGGGAAUAUUGCGCAAUGGAGGAAACUCUGACGCAGUGACGCCGCGUGCAGGAAGAAGGUUUUCGGAUUGUAAACUGCUUUAGACAGGGAAGAAGAAGUGACAGUACCUGUAGAAUAAGCUCCGGCUAACUACGUGCCAGCAGCCGCGGUAAUCUGAGCGGGCUGGCAAGGC
RNAcentral lists this ribosomal RNA (199 nucleotides) under uncultured bacterium. RNAcentral's name for it is "partial 16S ribosomal RNA". It matches the Rfam family "Bacterial small subunit ribosomal RNA", at positions 328 to 539 of the family's 1533-position model. The record is from RNAcentral.